Long non-coding RNA from Bubalus bubalis (water buffalo), 2689 nucleotides. RefSeq lists it as uncharacterized. The transcript is spliced from 4 exons. NCBI's taxonomy places the organism in Eukaryota, Metazoa, Chordata, Mammalia, Artiodactyla, Bovidae. The record is from RefSeq and is a predicted model, not a curated record.
UUGGAGUUGUAUGCGCACGGGGCAGAGUCGCGAGCCUGGGAGCCGCCCGAGAGCCGCCCGGCGCCGGGGCUCCCGGUCUGGGAAGCAGCUCUGGGAAGGCUAGCGGGCUUCGCGGGGACUCAGCCGCAGAGGGAGUGGUGCUGGGGGAGCUCGGCCCCCGAGGGGGGCUAGUAGCGAGACUCGGGAUCUGCUCCCUGAACCCAGCGGCCAGGCCUAGAGAUCUGGUUCUGCGAGGUCAUUUGGAGACCACAGUGAACUACCUGUGAUGGAAGGGGAGCCGGCCUCCUGGGACCUUAGCUUUGCCGGUAUAAAGUUUUUCACUUGCAGCCUCCAUCCCCCUCGCGGACCCACGCCGCCAGCUUCCGCCGCUUAGGCGGGGCCGGGUUCGACCCGCGCUCCGGUGCAGCCGGCGGUCAGGCGCCGCGCAGCUCAGGCGCUCACUCACCGCGCGUCCCGGCUUCCCAGGUGGGGCCCGGACGCGGGCACCUUCCCUGCACCGCGCUUUGGUGGUCCCCAGGGAUGGGCUCUGGGCAUCCACCGGCCGAGGGUUGGUGGCUAGCGCCCGAGGUCCGGUUCCUCAAACUUUCCUUCUGCCUGGAGAGGAGGGAUUGGAAGGCGGAGGCCGUGCCAGGAGCGUGCGCAGCCGGUGCCAGGCUUAACUUGAGCUGUCGCUGCCCCCUCCCCCCAACCACCACCUCACUACGACCCUCGGGCCGCCGGGCUCCUAGCAGAGCGCUGCAAAGUUGGCGCGGGCUCUGGGGAAGUCCCGCCGCGCCCCCACGUGGCUGCCGCGCGGGGAGCGGUCCCCAGGGCCCAGGGAGGGCAGGUGACCACGCCGUGAGCCCGCGGGCUCCGCCACCCGCCGCUCGGGCCUCUGCGUCUACCUCUCUCACCUCCCAGAUCCGGGCGGGCUGCGGCGCCCCGCCGGGACCCCCUCGUCCCUGGCCCGGGCAGAGCAACCGGUGAGCCACCCGCGCCUGCGGCUGGCUGCCCUGGCCCUGCGGGAGCCGGCUGCGGUGGGACCUCAGGUAGCGGAGGGGCCUGAUCCCUGAGCUCCGCGCUCCAGCCUUAAUCCGCCCCUGUUUCCAUGGCAACAGACCGAGGUGUCGUAAGCACGGAAUUCUGACCUCACAGUAGGAUGGGAAAGGAGAAAAUGGGCAAGGGGAGGUGACGCGAGGAGGGGGAAGCGAAGCCCAGGGAUGGGCGGAGAGGAGCAGAUGUGGGGGUGAUGGAAGAGACCCCAUAAGCUGGUGGGACAGGUAUGUGCCCAGAGACAAAGAUAUGCCUGGGGCUGGUGGCAAGAGAGGUGGCCAUUGAAGUUUCUGCUUCUCAAGUGUUCCCAAAAGCUCCUGGCAAAAAUGUCAUAGGAUGAAAAAAAAAAAGGUCAUAGGAUGGAUUCAGAUCCCGGGAGGAGAGAGGACCGUGAGCCCUACAUAUCCUGUGGAGAAACCCCAGAGAAGGAAGAAGGUACAGAAGUGGAGUUCCAGUCUCCCCAGCCCAAGUCUGUCCCAUUCAAGGAAAGCAGCAAGCAGCCCAAUGAAACCAGUCACACUAAGAGAGUUUCCUUAACUGGGAGCUUCUGGACUGCUUUUCCCCUCAAAGUUCCUGGUCCUUACACCAGCAAAGAGAAGCCAGGAUGAGGAAUUUUGAGGAAGCACCAGGUCACCUCAACAGAGAGAAGAGGCAGAGUGGCUAAAUAAAGUCGUUGAAUGCAUUUCUCACCAGUAGCCAGAAUAAAACCAAGGAAAGAAAUGCAGCGCUCCCCAUUUGUGAGCUAAGAUGAUGUAGAAAAUGUGUUUUGGUUCUGCCCCUGUAAUGCCAGCACGAGGCCAACUCCUCACCACAGUUUCCAGGUCUAGUUGCUGCAGAGGAACUGUUCAGGACCCAAACUCCCAGCGUGGACGCACUGACUCCUCUACUGCAGGAACGAAACUGAGUUUCUGGUCUCGGACUCAGGCUGCUAAGCUCGACCCCCACCGCCCCGGAGGGUACGGUGGCUCUGUUUUAGGAGACCAGGUGGAUAACCAGAGCAGACAGUGGACUUGACACGGGGAGAGGUUCUUAGCCAAGUCUGAAGCGAGGAAGUCUCAUUAGGAAAUGGAAAAGACAGGGGAGGCUGGUAGGAAUGUUUGCCCCCUGACCUGUGACAGAGUUGACAGCAGAUGGGAUCUAGGAGGGAGGCUUGUGGGGGGUGGUGGUGAGUCCAACUCCAAGCUUUGAAGUCAGGGCCUGAGAAAGGACAGAGCAGAAGUUCACUCUCUGGAGAUGAGAAGGAGGGGGCAGGCCUGCUGAAGGAUGUCAAGAACGGAUCUGUUUGGUACCAUCUGCAGCGAAGUAGUGGUUAAGGUUAAAGCAGAGAGGAGAUGACAGGGAGGGAACAGAUGGCCGAGGAAGCAAAAUAGCUGGCAAACAGGAACAGAGCCUCCAGGGACAGCAGAAGGCAGGACCUCCAUGCAGAAUGCCGGAAGCGGCCCUUUCCUCGGGGUGCACUGGCCAGGCCACCUGGGUGGAAGUGAGUCUGACAGAGGAGUGAUGCAGGCACCCCAGGGUGAGGGCUUCCUUGAGGCUUGGGAGAAGACCUCACAAGUGCUUAGUCGCUCAGUCAUGUCCAACUCUGUGGCUCCAUGGGCUGUAGCCCACCAGGCUCCUCUGUCCAUGGGAUUCUCUGGGCAAGAACACUAGAGCAGGU